AACGAACGCUGGCGGCAUGCCUAACACAUGCAAGUCGAACGAGACCUUCGGGUCUAGUGGCGCACGGGUGCGUAACGCGUGGGAAUCUGCCCUUGGGUUCGGAAUAACAGCCGGAAACGGCUGCUAAUACCGGAUGAUGACGUCAGUCCAAAGAUUUAUCGCCCUAGGAUGAGCCCGCGUUGGAUUAGCUAGUUGGUAGGGUAAAGGCCCACCAAGGCGACGAUCCUUAGCUGGUCUGAGAGGAUGAUCAGCCACACUGGGACUGAGACACGGCCCAGACUCCUACGGGAGGCAGCAGUGGGGAAUAUUGGACAAUGGGCGAAAGCCUGAUCCAGCAAUGCCGCGUGAGUGAUGAAGGCCUUAGGGUUGUAAAGCUCUUUUACCCGGGAUGAUAAUGACAGUACCGGGAGAAUAAGCUCCGGCUAACUCCGUG
This 433-nucleotide ribosomal RNA is filed under the name uncultured bacterium. RNAcentral describes it as "partial 16S ribosomal RNA". It matches the Rfam family "Bacterial small subunit ribosomal RNA", at positions 29 to 507 of the family's 1533-position model. The record is from RNAcentral.